This 1223-nucleotide ribosomal RNA is filed under the name metagenome. RNAcentral's name for it is "bacterial SSU rRNA". It matches the Rfam family "Bacterial small subunit ribosomal RNA", at positions 8 to 1249 of the family's 1533-position model. The record is from RNAcentral.
AGAGUUUGAUCCUGGCUCAGGACGAACGCUGGCGGCACGCCUAACACAUGCAAGUCGAACGGAGAUGAUUUGAGUUUACUUAGAUCAUCUUAGUGGCGGACGGGUGAGUAACACGUGAGCAACCUGCCUUUGAGAGAGGGAUAGCUUCUGGAAACGGAUGGUAAUACCUCAUAACAUACAGAUACCGCAUGGUGACUGUAUCAAAGAUUUAUCACUCAAAGAUGGGCUCGCGUCUGAUUAGAUAGUUGGUGAGGUAACGGCUCACCAAGUCGACGAUCAGUAGCCGGACUGAGAGGUUGAACGGCCACAUUGGGACUGAGAUACGGCCCAGACUCCUACGGGAGGCAGCAGUGGGGAAUAUUGCACAAUGGGGGAAACCCUGAUGCAGCGAUGCCGCGUGGAGGAAGAAGGUUUUCGGAUUGUAAACUCCUGUCUUAAAGGACGAUAAUGACGGUACUUUAGGAGGAAGCUCCGGCUAACUACGUGCCAGCAGCCGCGGUAAUACGUAGGGAGCGAGCGUUGUCCGGAAUUACUGGGUGUAAAGGGAGCGUAGGCGGGACGGCAAGUCAGAUGUGAAAUACAUGGGCUCAACCCAUGGGCUGCAUUUGAAACUGCUGUUCUUGAGUGAAGUAGAGGUAAGCGGAAUUCCUGGUGUAGCGGUGAAAUGCGUAGAUAUCAGGAGGAACACCGGUGGCGAAGGCGGCUUACUGGGCUUUUACUGACGCUGAGGCUCGAAAGCGUGGGGAGCAAACAGGAUUAGAUACCCUGGUAGUCCACGCUGUAAACGAUGAUUACUAGGUGUGGGGGGACUGACCCCUUUCGUGCCGCAGUUAACACAAUAAGUAAUCCACCUGGGGAGUACGGCCGCAAGGUUGAAACUCAAAGGAAUUGACGGGGGCCCGCACAAGCAGUGGAGUAUGUGGUUUAAUUCGAAGCGACGCGAAGAACCUUACCAGGUCUUGACAUCGAGUGCAUAACUAAGAGAUUAGUGAAAUCCCUUCGGGGACACUUAGACAGGUGGUGCAUGGUUGUCGUCAGCUCGUGUCGUGAGAUGUUGGGUUAAGUCCCGCAACGAGCGCAACCCUUACCUUUAGUUGCUACGCAAGAGCACUCUAAAGGGACUGCCGUUGACAAAACGGAGGAAGGUGGGGAUGACGUCAAAUCAUCAUGCCCCUUAUGACCUGGGCUACACACGUACUACAAUGGCAAUCAACAAAGAGAAG